This 252-nucleotide ribosomal RNA is filed under the name uncultured prokaryote. Its description in RNAcentral is "partial 16S ribosomal RNA". It matches the Rfam family "Bacterial small subunit ribosomal RNA", at positions 525 to 777 of the family's 1533-position model. The record is from RNAcentral.
ACGUAGGUGGCAAGCGUUGUCCGGAAUUAUUGGGCGUAAAGCGCGCGCAGGCGGUUAUGUAAGUCUGAUGUUAAAGCCCGGGGCUCAACCUCGGUUCGCAUUGGAAACUGCGUAACUUGAGUGCAGAAGAGGAAAGCGGUAUUCCACGUGUAGCGGUGAAAUGCGUAGAGAUGUGGAGGAACACCAGUGGCGAAGGCGGCUUUCUGGUCUGUAACUGACGCUGAGGCGCGAAAGCGUGGGGAGCAAACAGGA